RNAcentral lists this ribosomal RNA (708 nucleotides) under uncultured marine dinoflagellate. Its description in RNAcentral is "eukaryotic LSU rRNA". It matches the Rfam family "Eukaryotic large subunit ribosomal RNA", at positions 16 to 678 of the family's 3401-position model. Lineage: Eukaryota; Dinophyceae. The record is from RNAcentral.
CGGGAGUACCCGCUGAAUUUAAGCAUAUAAAUAAGUGGAGGAGUAAAAACUAACCAGGAUUCCCCCAGUAAUGGCGAAUGAACAGGGAAGAGCUCAAAUACAUAACCGUGCAUGCGGAAUGUAACCUCGUGUGCUCUCACCAGCAGUUGCCCCGUCGUUUGUUGUUUGGAAAAACACAUAACUACGGGUGAAAAUCCCAUCUGUCGGCCUACGGCGACUGCGUACGGUGUGAGUUCCCCGAGUCGCGCACCCUGGGACGGGUGCGUAAAUUCGGUGGUAAGUUUCAUCGAAAGCUCAAUAUCUCCUCGAGUCCGAUAGCGAACAAGUACCAUGAGGGAAAGGUGAAAAGUACUUUGAAAAGAGAGUUAAACGUGCCUGAAAUCGUUGUGAAUCAAGCGAUUGGAAUCAACGUCGUUACGGAAUUGGAGCGCAAUCUUGUUUCUCUGGAUCCCGUGAAGACAACUGACACUGCUGAGUUAGUUAUUUACACCGCCAUUUGCAAUGACUCCGGUUUGAGCCUUUGGAAGUAAUAACUUUUUCAGUGGCGGUACACAUUAUAUUGGAUCGUUUCUCACGUCUGAUGGUGUUAUUUGGUGCCAUACUUAUGUCCCAGAUGCAUCAGAUUACCGAUGGAGCUCGAAAUAUGAUGUGGUGUCAGUAUAGCAGGUUCCAAUUGACCCGUCUUGAAACACGGACCAAGGAGUCUAA